UAAUAGAGCAGCUGUAGGAUUCUGGAGAACUCACAGAGGAAGGAGUUCUAAUAUACCUAGAGAGAGAGUAAUCAUUGCUAGCAUUCCUAUUCGUCUUAAUGGCAGUUGCACUACUGGUGCGUGCAGCCCAGAAGUGUGCAACCUGGAUGUUGCCAUCUUUGCUUUAUAGAUUCACACUUUUGAUGCUCUGCUACUUUUGGCCAUUCAUGAAGCAUUUACCAGCAGGAGCCAAACUCUGAUCCACUGGAUGAGCCAUGAUUUAGGAUGAUUUAAGACAAACAACAUUAAGAACUGACCGCUUCAAGGAGGCCUGGAGCAAAUUGAACCGCUGAUUGAAUCCAAAGCCAAAGGACAUUAAAAGAAUCAAGACCCACUUGAGUUUGAUGGAGGGCAAAAGAGACAGAUGCAGCUGUACGUCCACGAGCUAAAGCACAUCAUCCUCAACAACAGGCAUCAGACUCUUCAGGCUAUGAGAGCGAGCUGUUGCUGGAAUUGCAUCAGCCAAUCGCAGAUGCUACAUCACUUCCAGGUCUGGCUGUCUGCUCAGUAAACAUGGCCAUACCUCAGAUGAAGACUGACUCAACAGCAGAACAGAUGGUGAGAUCCUGCAGGAGCUGUUGGGUGUACACAGAGCCGAGACUUCACCUCCUGAAUGAAUGAGGAGACAAAAACAGAUGAGGGUUAUACAAAGAGCUCUUCAGUAUAAAAAAGUAAAAUCUGUUUUUACUCUGAUGGCACCCAUUCGCUGCGGAGGAUCCAUUGCUGAGCAAGUAAUGUAAUGCUACAUUUCUCCAAAUCUGUUCCAACUGAAACAAACUCUACAUCCUGGGUGGCCUGGGGGAUAUAAUAUUUUUGAUCAAAUUUUGGGUAAACUAUUUCUUUAAUAAACCCUAAUACAUAUUAUCUUGCAGAAAGGUUUGUGUGAUUAAUUGAUUAAUUUUAUGUGUAGAAAAUAUAAUUAGCUUAGCAUUAAAGCAAUGGAAGUAAAUGGAAAGUCCGCUGUUACUGAAAACCAAAUGUGGUUGUGCUCGGAUGUGUGACACAGGUUGAUGGCAUUUCUAAAAUACUCAUGUGAAUUAGCAAACAGAGAAAUCGAGGCCAGCAAGGAUGGGGAGCAGGUUUGUUUUGCAGGAGCAGGCCUUUGUAAUUGCUUUGUUUAUUGCCUCUUGGCUGUGUGCGAUGGCACAUAUGAAAUAUUACCAGGAUGAUGAUACGUCUCAGUCUAAUUCAAAAUUAUGACAGCUUAAAGUGUGGCAGAAAACAGGAAGGGGGGAGUUGGCUGGCUUUGCUGUCAUACAUAACACAACUUUGAGUAGAUCCUGACCUUCAGGCCCACAGGUACAGCUAACAAGAUUUUAAAAUGAUGACCUUCCAUAAUAAAUGAUUUGCCUGAACCUCAGCCAUGCGCGGUGGUGACACUAUUAGUGUUUAAAAUGAUGGCAACUUGAGUUGUGCUGUGAAAACUAAUUACAGAUGGGUAAUUGUUUUAUUUGUCUUGAUGUUCGCGUGUGAGUAAUGGCCG
Long non-coding RNA from Cyprinus carpio carpio, 1522 nucleotides. The record is from Ensembl. Lineage: Eukaryota; Metazoa; Chordata; Actinopteri; Cypriniformes; Cyprinidae.